This 617-nucleotide long non-coding RNA is filed under the name Homo sapiens (human). RNAcentral describes it as "novel transcript". Lineage: Eukaryota; Metazoa; Chordata; Mammalia; Primates; Hominidae. The record is from RNAcentral.
GCCACAGGACCUGUCCAUAGGUUGGAUGCUGUGUGGGUGACAGAGAGAAACCGGGGCUCACGGCCUGGGCAGCGGGACGGGCGGAGUCGUCCUCACCUGUGCUGGGGACCCUGUGGGAGCAGCAGGCUUCCGAGCACGUGCUGGACCCCGGCGUCUCCGGCUGCACCGAGUGGUCAGGACAUUGAGGCCGGGUCAGGGAGCGUGAGAUACCGGGACGAGCGGGCCCAGGGCUGAGCCCAGCGGCGUCCGGGUGGGCGGUGGCGUUGAGAUGGGAAUUGGGAAUUGCACCGGUGGUCUCAGGAGGAUGGAAAACCCAAGCAGCAGCUGCACCAGGACCGAGGCAAAGGGACCGCAGUUUAACAGAAAACCCAAAACGAGAGCGAGAAAACGGCCAAACACCCGUGCGAGGAGGAAACCCAAGCUCCGCCGAGCGCGGCGGGUCUGUGCCUUCGCUUCGCUUCCAGCCUCUCGCUUCCUUCUGACCCGACCCCGAGUUCUUUCUCCGGACGGUGUCGAGAACCCGGGCGCCGGCUGGGGCUGGAGUCUCGCUGGCCUCGGAGCGCCCCCGAGCCCUCGGGCGACAGCGAGGGAACGCCAGGCCCCCGGACGCGACCCAC